RNAcentral lists this ribosomal RNA (199 nucleotides) under uncultured fungus. Its description in RNAcentral is "partial small subunit ribosomal RNA". The stretch from base 75 to 199 matches the Rfam family "Eukaryotic small subunit ribosomal RNA", at positions 735 to 864 of the family's 1831-position model. Lineage: Eukaryota; Fungi. The record is from RNAcentral.
GAUUAGGAAUGCAGUGGUCAACACUGCAUUUGUAGUCAUCCACAUGAGAACCUUUCUCGGCCUUCACUGGUCGGUUGGGGGAUCAUGUACUUUACUUUGAAAAAAUCAGAGUGUUUCAGGCAGGCGUUUGCAUGAAUACACAAGCAUGGAAUAAUGGAAUAGGACUAGGGUCCAUUUUAUUGGUUAUUGGACCAUAGUA